Non-coding RNA from Suillus decipiens, 82 nucleotides. The record is from the annotation of a GenBank genome assembly. Lineage: Eukaryota; Fungi; Basidiomycota; Agaricomycetes; Boletales; Suillaceae.
CCAGUUGUAGCCAAGUGGUUACUCCAACAGACUGGAAAUCUGUGUCUCUUGGACUGUGCAGGUUCAAAACCUGUCGACGAGG